Oncorhynchus keta (chum salmon) is the source of this 167-nucleotide long non-coding RNA. RefSeq lists it as uncharacterized. The record is from RefSeq and is a predicted model, not a curated record. NCBI's taxonomy places the organism in Eukaryota, Metazoa, Chordata, Actinopteri, Salmoniformes, Salmonidae. The transcript has 3 exons.
GUAUACCAAACUCCAGGGCUGGAUGGCAUAACAGUGGAAGUAUACCAAACUCCAGGGCUGGAUGGCAUAACAGUGGAAGUAUACCAAACUCCAGGGCUGGAUGGCAUAACAGUGGAAGUAUACCAAACUCCAGGGCUCGAUGGCAUACCAGUGGAGGUAUACCAAAC